This is a long non-coding RNA of Trachemys scripta elegans, 368 nucleotides long. RefSeq lists it as uncharacterized. The transcript is spliced from 3 exons. Lineage: Eukaryota; Metazoa; Chordata; Testudines; Emydidae. The record is from RefSeq and is a predicted model, not a curated record.
UUUCUGGAUGACGAGAGAGCUAGAUGAUGAAUGACACCAGGUUCAUGGCCCUCAGUUUUUACUUGAUAUGUCUAUUGAUUGCUGCUUUGACAUCUAAUUAAAGGAUAUUAUACCAACACCAUGAAAGUCAGAUUUUUGUAAAGCUUAUUUGUUCUGAAGGGGUCAUACAAUAUCUGGAUUUUGUAAUGGCGAAGGAUCUGAUAGGAGUCACCCCACACUUCAUGCCCACAGAUGGGAGGCAUGAGGACACUCAGGAUGCAGGAAUGGUUCCAUCAGAGAGUACUGGCAAAAGAAUACAAAUUCACAUGUAUUGCGUGCACUUGCACCCAACAGUGGACAAUGGACAAUACAUCUUAAGAUUCAAUUAC